RNAcentral lists this unclassified non-coding RNA (2647 nucleotides) under Hevea brasiliensis (rubber tree). The record is from RNAcentral. Lineage: Eukaryota; Viridiplantae; Streptophyta; Magnoliopsida; Malpighiales; Euphorbiaceae.
AAACGCUGUCGUUUUCCAGCGACCACAGAGAGGGAGAGAGAAAAUCCUGGUGUAGUAACCGUUAUAUGCAUAAUUUCUUUUUUCAAUCCCACGCGCCCAUGUCUUCCAACCGUUUAAACCUCAUUUUCCCACCCAAAAGAUUCCCACCAACCUCCCUUAUCCCCUCUCUCUUUCUCAAGAAUUUAACUCUUUAGUCUUUUUCAUCAUUAACUCUCUGAAACAAACCCAUUUGUUACCAUCAAGAUUCAAUGACUAUGCCUCCAAGAAAGCUUCUUUUUUUCUUCUUUCUCUUCGUUCUCUUCAACUUCAUAGACCCUUUUCUUGUCUUGGCCAAUAAUGUCAGUUUCGAUUUCUCUUCUUUAACUCUCCGGAACCUCACUCUUCUUGGCGAUUCCUAUCUACGGAAUGGUGUCGUUGGCCUCACACGCGAUGUUACUGUCCCUUCUUCGAGCUCAGGCACUGUAAUCUACAAUAUUCCGGUUUCCUUCUUCGACGCAGAAUCUAAUAUUACAGCUUCUUUUUCAACAAGGUUCACUUUUUCCAUUGAUAAUGUCAAUCCAAGCUCUUUUGGGGAUGGUUUCACCUUUUUUCUUUCACAAGAUAACCAGACUCUUGGUAGCCCGGGCGGGUUCUUAGGUCUUGUUAAUUCCUCUCAAUUGACCAAGAACAAAUUUGUGGCUAUUGAGUUUGACACCAGGCUUGAUGCCCAUUUCAAUGAUCCAAAUGAGAACCAUGUUGGUUUAGAUAUUGAUAGCCUUGAUUCAAUCAAGUCUGCUAAUCCUAGCUCACAAAAUAUUGAUUUAAAGAGUGGGAAUUCAAUUACAGCUUGGAUCAAUUACAAGAAUGAUUUGAGGGUCUUGAAUGUUUUCUUGAGUUAUUCAAGUUUGAUGCCUGCUACGCCAUUAUUGACUGUAGAUGUAGAUCUCUCUGGGUAUCUUAAAGAAGCUAUGUAUGUGGGGUUUUCCGGUUCUACAGAAGGGAGCACCGAGCUCCACUUGAUUGAGAGUUGGAGCUUUGAAACCUCCGGCUUCCUUCCUGUGAGGCCAAAAUCACAUCCUCAUAAUGUGUCUGACACCUCUGUGACAGUAACAACGCCCAUUUGGAGCUCUGCAGAGAAGCAUCACAAAGGGCUUGGCUUGGGUCUUGGGAUUGCCGGUCCGGCUUUCUUUUGUGUGUUCCUGGUGAUUUUGGGGUACAUAACUGUCAAGAAGUGGCAGAAAAUUAAAAUAGUGAACAGCCUAAAAGCAGAGCUAGUGGCAGGGCCAAGGGAAUACAGUUACAAAGAGCUGAGUUCAGCCACUAAAGGUUUUCAUUCAAGCAGAAUGAUAGGCAGAGGCUCAUUUGGGAAUGUGUAUAAAGCUUAUUUUAUGUCUUCAGGCACCAUUGCAGCGGUUAAAAGAUCGAAGCAUUCCCAUGAAGGUAAAGCUGACUUCAUUGCUGAAUUGUCUAUAAUUGCUUGUUUGAGGCACAAGAAUUUGGUUCAACUACAGGGUUGGUGUGUUGAGAAGGAUGAGUUGUUGCUUGUUUACGAGUUUAUGCCUUAUGGAAGCCUUGAUAAGAUAAUAUACCAAGAGCCUGAGAAUGGUCCAUUUUUAACUUGGUCUCAUCGGCAAAAUGUUGCCAUUGGUUUGGCCUCUGCAUUGACAUAUUUGCAUCAAGAAUGUGAGCAGCAAGUCAUUCACAGAGACAUAAAGACGAGUAAUGUAAUGCUGGAUGGGAAUUUCAAUGCGAGGCUGGGUGACUUUGGGUUGGCGAGGCUAAUGGAUCAUGAUAAGAGUCCUGUUUCUACACUUACUGCUGGAACAAUGGGGUAUUUAGCUCCUGAGUAUCUUCACUAUGGGAAAGCAACAGAGAGAACUGAUGUUUUUAGUUAUGGUGUGGUUAUGCUUGAAGUGGCUUGUGGCAGAAGGCCAAUUGAGAGAGAAUCAGAAAGCCAAAAAAUGGUUAAUUUGGUUGACUGGGUGUGGGCAUUGCAUGGUCAGGGAAAGAUCAUUGAAGCGGCUGAUAAAAGGCUGAAUGGGGAGUUCAAGGAGGAAGAAAUGAGGAGGCUGUUGCUUGUAGGCUUGAGCUGUGCUAAUCCAGAUAGCAUGGAGAGACCUACAAUGAGAAGAGUCCUGCAAAUACUUAAUGGUGACGCUGAGACUACGAUUGUGCCAAAGGUGAAACCAACUCUCACGUUCUCUGCCGGCUUGUCUUUGACUCUUGAGGACAUUGUUUCUGAUUGUGAAUGAUGCAAGAUUCCCCACUAUAUAGCUGUCUGGAGUAGCCUUUUAAGGUUUUCUUCGGCCAUGCUUCCAGAUUGUUUGAUUCUUUCACAUCUUUGUAUUUCAGAUUGUAGUUUAGUUAUUUGUGAAGAACGAUUCAUUGUCCUUAGUUCAAUACCGUUCUAUUGAACUACCUGCAGAUAGAUAGAUCAGUUUCUUAACAAAUUCAAUGUGCAUUUGAUCUUCACAAAUAUUCAAUUAACAAGUUUUUUCCUCUAUUGCAUCUUCUUCUAGCCUAUAAUUUAUGUGUAGACUCACUAAGAUAGAUUUCUAUACACAUUUUGGCGAUGUAGUUUAACAAAUUUCUGGUUGUAUGUUUGUGACUUCAGAUAUCCCUUUCUGUAAGCGUAUUUCAGAUAUCACUAUCAAUUCAUUGAUCCAGU